CAUCACUUUUCAGGAGGCCUGACCCUCCGAGGGGAACUCGUGUGCUGCCCGCCUGCUUCCUGCCGGGGACCGUCGGCCACUGAGCCUUCCAGGACCGGAGCUGCAGAGGCGACGCAGCCAGCUGAGAAGCAGAUUCUCCCUUCUGAGGGUUGGUUAAAGCUCAAAACCAGAGGCCUCCGUGGACCCCCACCUGUUUUUCCAAGCCCACCGUCCCUCCACCUCAUCUUCCGCCGUCCCAUCGUCCGCCAGCUCGUCAUUCAGCGUGGAUUUCCUGAGCCACCCCCAGGCACCAGCACCGUGGCUCAGGCGACGUGCAGACAACAAAGAAAGAACCACCCCAUCCGUCCACCCACCCAUUGUGCGUCCGCCUGCCCACCCACCCCUGCCCGCCCGUCCGUCUGUCCCUCCGUCCGUGCUUCCACGCCUCUCUGCAGUCACACACUCACUCCCUGUCAAGUCCUCCCGGGCGCCUGGACUCAGCCGUGGGCCCCAGCCCUCACUCCCCAGGCCAGCUGGGGGCAGACCCAGGUCCUGGGGAUCCCAUGAAGCUCAGAGGUCCCCGACUUCACACCAGCAGGUCACCCAGGAAACCAAAGGAUCAGGGUGAGUGUCUGAGGGAACACCUUUUAGGAGUGAUUUUAUCAAAGAGGGCCCCAGGCUGUGACCCCGCAUCCUUGCAACAGAUGCGCUGGCAGUCUGGAACAGAUUCAGGUCAGUUUCGUAAGCCACUGGGGCAAAUUCCCAGCAAAGAUAAAGCAAGGUGGCCCUGCCAGCUGGAAGCUGACCCCGAACCCCAAGCCUGACUUUUCUGCCCAGUGCGAUCCCAGCUGCCUGGGGCCCUCGUCACUGGGCUUUGGGUUCUGGAGCUGGUCCCUGAGGCAUCCUCUUGGAAGUGGGGGAGGCCCAGCAGCCAGUGGGAGGGUGGCCAGAAGGGACCUUGGGGUGCUUGCAACUCUGACCACAGUGCCCCGCGCUGAAGCCGACCCCUGCCCCACUGCCCGGAACAAAGUGAGUGCUCAGACUUGCAUGGGAUUUGGAGGACACGUCUUAGCCCCAGAGCAUGUCCAGCAGGGCUCUGUAUCAGCAGGGCCGGCCCUGAUGGCUAUCUGGAGACUUGUGACACAAGGGAGCAUGAGCCCAGCUCAGCAAUAUCAGCUGACUUAACCUCAGAUGAAAGGAAACACGCGGGCAGCCGGAUCUAGGUCCGGGGUGGGGCGGGGUGAGUGUGGGGUGAGGCUCCGCGGGCCCAGCCCCGGAUGACCGGGCCCUGACCCAGGGCCCCAGCUGGUCUGCUUUCCGGGAGCCCUGCUGCCAGCCCCCAGGUCCCACUGCUCUGGGCAGCCUUCGGGAGUGGGGUGGGGUGUCCCCUUUGCCCACGUGGUCCCUAAAGGGCUUGUGUGCCCCACCUGUGGACACACGGCCAGACACGCGUGUGCGAUACACGUGUGUGCCGUACCCCCCAAGGGUGCCCACACAACGCACACCACUCCCAGCGCGUACCUGGGACAGGAGGGCGGCGGCUGCCUGGACCUCGGGCUGCAUGGGA
RNAcentral lists this long non-coding RNA (1546 nucleotides) under Bos mutus (wild yak). RNAcentral's name for it is "lncRNA (ENSBMUG00000024269.1)". Lineage: Eukaryota; Metazoa; Chordata; Mammalia; Artiodactyla; Bovidae. The record is from RNAcentral.